This is a ribosomal RNA of Pteropus vampyrus (large flying fox), 119 nucleotides long. The record is from Ensembl. Lineage: Eukaryota; Metazoa; Chordata; Mammalia; Chiroptera; Pteropodidae.
GUCUACGGCCAUGCUAACCUGAAUAAGCCCAAUACCGUCUUAUCUCAGAAGCUAAGCAGGGUUGGGCCUGGUUUGUACUUGGAUGGGAGACCACGUAGGAAGACCAGGUGCUGUAGGCG